CCCUUAGACGUUCUGGGCCGCACGCGCGCUACACUGACCAGUGCAACAAGCAUCCGUCCUUGGCCGACAGGCUCGGGCAAUCUUUGAACGCUGGUCGUGAUGGGGAUAGACUUUUGCAAUUUUUGGUCUUCAACGAGGAAUUCCUAGUAAACGCAAGUCAUCAACUUGCAUUGAUUACGUCCCUGCCCUUUGUACACACCGCCCGUCGCACCUACCGAUCGAAGGUAAUGAUGAGCCCUCAGGAUUGUGGCCUCGUCGCGUCAGCGUCUUGGCUGCGAGAAUCUGUGCAAAUCCCUACCUUUAGAGGAAGGUGAAGUCGUANCA
This 324-nucleotide ribosomal RNA is filed under the name uncultured eukaryote. RNAcentral's name for it is "partial 18S ribosomal RNA". It matches the Rfam family "Eukaryotic small subunit ribosomal RNA", at positions 1470 to 1796 of the family's 1831-position model. The record is from RNAcentral.